Molecule: ribosomal RNA, 641 nt
Filed under: uncultured bacterium
Lineage: Bacteria
Description: bacterial SSU rRNA
Rfam family: Bacterial small subunit ribosomal RNA
Source: RNAcentral
CGCGGCCUAUCAGCUUGUUGGUGGGGUAGUGGCCUACCAAGGCGACGACGGGUAGCCGGCCUGAGAGGGCGACCGGCCACACUGGGACUGAGACACGGCCCAGACUCCUACGGGAGGCAGCAGUGGGGAAUAUUGCGCAAUGGGCGAAAGCCUGACGCAGCGACGCCGCGUGAGGGAUGACGGCCUUCGGGUUGUAAACCUCUUUCAGCAGGGACGAAGCGCAAGUGACGGUACCUGCAGAAGAAGCACCGGCUAACUACGUGCCAGCAGCCGCGGUAAUACGUAGGGUGCGAGCGUUGUCCGGAAUUAUUGGGCGUAAAGAGCUCGUAGGCGGUUUGUCGCGUCGACUGUGAAAACCUACAGCUUAACUGUGGGCUUGCAGUCGAUACGGGCAGACUUGAGUUCGGUAGGGGAGACUGGAAUUCCUGGUGUAGCGGUGAAAUGCGCAGAUAUCAGGAGGAACACCGGUGGCGAAGGCGGGUCUCUGGGCCGAUACUGACGCUGAGGAGCGAAAGCGUGGGGAGCGAACAGGAUUAGAUACCCUGGUAGUCCACGCCGUAAACGGUGGGAACUAGGUGUGGGGGACUUCCACGUCCUCCGUGCCGUAGCUAACGCAUUAAGUUCCCCGCCUGGGGAGUACG